This 433-nucleotide ribosomal RNA is filed under the name uncultured bacterium. RNAcentral's name for it is "partial 16S ribosomal RNA". It matches the Rfam family "Bacterial small subunit ribosomal RNA", at positions 29 to 507 of the family's 1533-position model. The record is from RNAcentral.
AACGAACGCUGGCGGCAUGCCUAACACAUGCAAGUCGAACGAAGCCUUCGGGCUCAGUGGCGCACGGGGGCGUAACGCGUGGGAAUCUGACCCUUGCUUCGGAAUAACAGUUAGAAAUGACUGCUAACACCGGACGAAGUCUUAGGACCAAAGAUAUAUCGGCAUGGAAUGAGCCCGCGUAGGAUAAGGUAGUUGGUGGGGUAAAGGCUUACCAAGCGGAGGAUCCUUAGCUGGGCAGAGAGGAUGAUCAGCCACACUGGGACUGGGACACGGCCCAGACUCCUACGCGAGGCAGCAGUGGGGAAUAUAGGACAAUGGACGCAAGUCUGAACGAGCAAGGCCGCGUAAGUGAUGAAGGCCUUAAGGUAGUAAAGCUCUAUUAACAGGGAUGAUAUUGACGGUACCUGGAGAAUAAGCCCCGGCUAACUCCGUG